UUUCAAAUUCUGAGAAAAGUACUCUGAUCAUUGGCCUUCCCAAACCCUAAAUUUUUUAUUAUUAUUUCUCUCAUCCUUUUUCUUUUCUUUUUCUUUCUCUCCCUUCCUCUCUAACCCUCAGCCUCCCUCUAUUUCUCUCUCCCCGAACCUCUUCUCUCUCAAUCUCUUAUAAUCUCACAAUCUCCCAACUCCCAACCUCUCACUCUCACUCCGGCGAGUAUCAAACCCCAAGACCACCCCCCUUCGUCUCUUUCAUUUUCGAUGAAGCCCAAGGAGUUCCAAGCCUGCCGCCAUUCUCCAUUGAUACCGGCGAACUCUUGGCCUUCGGCCGAGUUCAUUCAUCUCGAGCUCUCCAAUCUCUCUAUUCUCUUUAUUAUUUCGAUCUCUGGUCGAUUUAGGCCAAGGAGAGGCCGAUUCAAACCGGCUGGAUCUCUGCAACUUCCGGCGAGUUUCUGCAGAUUCUGGUGAGUCCUAGGAUUACCACUUCAGGCCACGGUUAGGCCGGAAUUCUUGGUUUCAUCCCAAAAAUCUCUUUCUCCGUCUCCUCUUCUCAUUUUCGAGUAGGAUGUAGCGUAAGUAAAAGACUCUUGCCUGAAAUAGAAUAACCAUAGCUACACAGUCUUCUGCAUCUCCAGCGGAGGAAUCAUCUUCAUCGUCUGAGGCUACUGCGUCUAAAUCUGCAUCUUUAGAGCUAUCUUUCAUGGAGGCCCAGGGCCCUAUUAUCAAGGCAGUGCCUACUCUCUAUUUCUUUGGUAGGAAAUUGGAGCUGGAAUUCAGAUUUGACAGAGAGCUAUUUGUCGGGUUAGAGCAGACAACGUGGUCGUUUGCAAAGCUCACCUGUAGGGGCAUAGAUGCUAUCAUGACUCCGGCAGACACUAUAGUUUAUCCUCGGUUGGUUGCUCUAUUUUUCCAGCACCUCCGGAUGGAUGAGGAUGAUUGCCAGCUGAUGAACACGACUAUAAAUGGUCAGGAUAUUGAUAUUUCUAUCCCUGCCAUUGCUGCCGCCUGCACAUGUCCCCAUCUCUCACCAAUGGUCGCUGACUCUAAGGAUCCACUUUACCCGAUCAGUCCAGCUUACCUUACUGAGAUGAUUAUGGUUGCUACACUCUCUCCACAGGCUGCCUACUAAGGCAAUAUAUUUGCAGACUGGGUUAAUAUUGAUCCGCGCUACUGGUUCUUAGAUUCUAUGCUACAUCUUAAUGCCUUUCCUUCAAGCCAUGGUACACAAAGGUGGGAGGGGAUUCUGAAGGCCCUAUACAGUUUGAGUCAAGGCUACUGGAUAUCUAUUCCUGCUCUCAUCUAGGAAAUUAUCCACAAGUACUCGGACAAUCUGAUCUUUAAGUACAAUUCCAGAACUGAUGCUUGGCCUUUACCAUUUGGCCAUCUUAUCACACAGAUAUUGAACGAAUGACCAGGGUUAUUCCUUUGACCCAACUGAGAUUGCAAAGCCUGCAGAGUAGAGAGAGAAGAGGGUGUAUGAUAAAAAAUAGUGGACCAAGACCUAUAAUGCUUGCUUGAAGAAUAGGAAGAAUAGAGAGCAGAAAAGGCAGCGAGCUCAGCAGAGAAUAGAGGAGGAGGCAGACGAGGGAUCUCAGGGAUCACCUUUUUCCUUCUGACCUAGAUAGAGGUAACAUACUACUACUUCCACGUCCACAUCACAGCCAGGUCCACUUCUUCCUCCCCAUCCAUCUCAGCAGGCCGACCCCUCAUAUGUCCCUUCUACAGAGCAGAUGCCCUAGGUCGACACUCGCUCCCGUCAUGCCAAUUCAGAUUCCAGCCACAAAGCUGACCUAACUCAAUUACAUUCAGAUUUUACUUCUUUCAGAGCUGACAUGAUGGGAUAACACGAUGAUUUAGCGAGGCGGCAUGAUGACUUAGCUAGGCGAUCUGACGAUCUGGCGAGAGGUGUAGCGGAUGCGAGGAAAGACAUUUCAGAUUUGCGGACAGACAUUCAGACGUCUCUCAGUCGACAUAGCCGGGAGAUGUCAGAUAUGCUCCAGAUCAUUGCAGACAUGCUUGCGCCAGAUGCUUCCCCAUGAUUCCACCUUUCUCUCUCUAUUACUUACUCCAUGAUCUGAUACAUUUUGAUACAUUGAUAUUUCUGGGAUAUUUUGCACUGUUUUGAUGCUUUGCACUUAUUUUAAAUAUUAUUUUGCACUACAUUAGAUACAUUGAUUUUGGAUAUUGGUUUUGGAUUUAUUUAAAUACAUGGGUUUUUGGGAUUUAUGACAUUAUUGAUUUCGGUUUUGGAUAUUCUGAGCUUUAUAUUGUUAUAUGCCAUGGAUUUAUGCCCAGUUUUUCGUUCCAUCUCUCAUUGAUAUCAUUGAUGCAUAUGCUUUGACAGUUGCUAGUGUGACCAUUUUCAGACAGGUUUUUGAAAUCUAAGUUUGGGAAUGCGCUUUCCAAUGUUAAGCUUCCAUUGCCGGGUCAUAUUUGUGACACCCUUAUGGUAUACUAUUUCCAUUAUUUGUUGCCAUUUUUGUACAUUGAGGACAAUGCACAAAUUAAUUUUGGGGGUGUGUUAACAUUUUUUAACAUGUCGCACUUAUUUUCUAUGCAUGUGGUAUAAUUUGAGAGUUUUAGCUAUGAUUUUGAUCUUUUGAGGGUUAUGAUACUUAGAAUUAAAAUUUUAUUGACUUGAGAGUCUAAUACUCCUUGUAUGCAUUGUGAAUGCCAUCUAGUAGUAAAUUUUUCGAAAGAUUGAUAUCUUACUGGCAUUUGUGGUCUACAUCAUCUUGAUCUUGUGAUUGUUUUGAGAUUUACGAUAGGAUUUUACACUAGCAUAGGCACACACUAGCACUUAUUUGUGGGGUACAUGCUUUGUUGAUUAUUAAUUUGGUUAUAUCCCAAUUGAGCUAGUAGUGCUUUGGAAGCUUUCAUUCUUGAUAAAGGUGGACAACAAACCCUUUUCACUAAGUAGCCAGGAUUCUAGCCUCAUCAAGUAUUGAAUUUCUCGCGUCAAAAGGUGGAGGGCCCAAACUCUAGGUUAAAAAAAAAAAAAAAAAAAAAAAAAAAAAAAGAAGAAAAAAAAAGAAAAAAAAAAGUGAGGAUUUCUUACCAAAGGUGAGGAGUAAGAAAUGAUUAGAUGAUGAUUGUUUUGAUUUGUAACCUAGUUGAUUUGAGCUUGUAAGUUCUUAGGGGUGUCUCUACACCUAAUGCCCUAAAGCGGUCUGGUUUGGGAGUCAUUGAUCUAACGCUCGCUUCAUGAAUUUUCUGGAAAGCUUAAGAGAUCACUACAUUGCACCAUGCUUCUAUCUUUGAUCAUUAAAAAAUAAAUAAAUAAAAAAAAAAUCGAGUGGAAAGAAUAACUGCACCUAGUUGAAUGAAACUUUAAUAAAAAGUUCACUCUUUGUCUUGAUGAUUGGUACUAGAUUUGUGUGCUAGCUUGACGCCAGUUGUGACCAUUUCAUUAGUUGGUUAAGAUAACAACAUAUUUGAUACCGGUUCACUUAAAAAGGAUUUUAGAGUUGUUUUGAUUUACAUAAUCAUUCUCUUGAUGUGUGGAGGACCAUAUUUGCUUGCAUAUUGUCAAAAUUUUAGAGAGUUGCUUAGAGAUGGUGGAAAAAUUAGAUACUUGAGGUAGUUUUCUCCCAAUGCUUGUUUUAUAUAUUAGUGCCUCUUUAGUGAGAAAAAGUUUAAUGUUUGUGGGUAUCAUUUCAGGAAACCCUCACAGGACUUCACUCGUCCACUAGGGGUAACCUAGGGGUUUAAAAGGCUUGUUGCAUACGCUAAAUACAAUCGUGUUCCCUACGAAAGUGGCGUUAUCCUUUCAUUGCUUUCUAGUUUAUAGUUAUAUAGUUGUUUAUUUCUAUCUUUUCUUUGUAGUUCAUUGCUAGGGACUAGCAAUAUCUAAAUUUGGAGAUGUGAUAAGUGCUCAAAUGUGAUGCAUUUUAGCACCUAAGUUAGGGUGUUUUAGUCCAUUCAUCUAUCUAACUUUCUCGUUGUAGUUCUAAUUUGUGUUUUUGUCUAUUUCAGGUUAAUAAGGUUCAAACAUGCUAAAAAGAGCCUAUUAACUUAUUUUUGGAGUUAAGGAGAAAAUCUAAAAAAAGUCAGAAAAACUGCACUGGAUGGUCUUCGAUCGAUCAAAGGAUGUCCUGAUCGAUCGAAGAUCUCUUGGAUCGAUCGAAAUGAAGGCGGUGCCAGUUCAGUGGAUAAGGUCUCCAGUUGUCAAAAAUAUCUUUGCCACGUCAUCUUUGAUCGAUCGAAGUAAGCUUCGAUCCAUUGACGCCAACUUUGAUCGAUCAAAGCCCUUGUUAGCAGUGAGCUGUUUAAUUCUCAAGCGCGCCUGAACUCCACCAACUUUUGUAACUGCGAUAUUGUACCAAUCAAAGGCCUAUUUUUGACUUGUUGCCUACUCCAAGAGGCUUGUAUUUAAUUAAAAUUGAACCAAUUGUAUAGGGUUCCAAGAUUUUUGUUACAUUAGUCAUUCCAACUUUUGUUAUAGCUUUUAGAUAAUAUUCUCUCUCUAGAUUAGGGUUUUUGGAGCAAAGCAAAGAGAAAGAAGAUGAUGCCAACAUUGAAGAAAGCCUUUGAGGGUUGGAUGACAAUAACUAUGAGUGGCUAGAUCCUUCUCUUGGGGUUAGAGAUAGCCUCUAGGCUUGCUUCUUAAACCUAGUAUUUUGUGAUUUUUGGGGAUUUAUGUUGUAAAUAAUGUUUUGACCAUGAUUAUAUAUAAAUCUUGAGUUCUACAUGAUUUGUAUGAA
This is a long non-coding RNA of Cornus florida, 4703 nucleotides long. RefSeq lists it as uncharacterized. The record is from RefSeq and is a predicted model, not a curated record. The transcript has 2 exons. NCBI's taxonomy places the organism in Eukaryota, Viridiplantae, Streptophyta, Magnoliopsida, Cornales, Cornaceae.